GACGAAGGCGAAGAUGAAGAUGGUAAGGAAGGAGAGCGAGACGAUGAACAGGUAGAAGAAGCGGUAGUUCCUCCGUCCGACGCAGUUUCCCACCCAGGGACAGUGAUGGUCGAAUCUCUCUGACGACAAACACAACAGGUCGGCGGCCUCGUCCGGCGUGGCUCGGGGCAGGACUCCGGGGUCCGUGAAACUCGCCCUGAACAACAUCCCCAUGACGAAGAGGAAGAGGACGCCGCCGACCGCCGGGAUGGCCGGGGUCAGGUUGGACGCCAGGAAGGGACAGCUGCGGAAAACCAGGAGGGAAAAUCAGAACACCUGAGGGCUUUUACCUGACGACAGUGAACACACCACGUCACAGGAGUUUAGAUUCUCAGUGUUAAAGUGAAUCUGACCCCAGGAGGAAAAUAACUGACUCCAGACCAGUGGUUCUACAGCGUCAUGACCCGGAAUAAAAUAAACUAAUGAAACAGGACCCAGGACUCUGGACCAGAACCUCUGACUGAAGAGACGCAAAACAAAAACAAAAAAAAGAAAG
Lates calcarifer (barramundi perch) is the source of this 535-nucleotide long non-coding RNA. RefSeq lists it as uncharacterized. The transcript has 2 exons. NCBI's taxonomy places the organism in Eukaryota, Metazoa, Chordata, Actinopteri, Centropomidae. The record is from RefSeq and is a predicted model, not a curated record.